Molecule: ribosomal RNA, 468 nt
Filed under: uncultured bacterium
Lineage: Bacteria
Description: partial 16S ribosomal RNA
Rfam family: Bacterial small subunit ribosomal RNA
Source: RNAcentral
GACGAACGCUGGCGGCGUGCUUAACACAUGCAAGUCGAACGGAAAGGCCCUGCUUUUGUGGGGUGCUCGAGUGGCGAACGGGUGAGUAACACGUGAGUAACCUGCCCCUGACUUUGGGAUAACUUCAGGAAACUGGGGCUAAUACCGGAUAGGAGCUCCUGCUGCACGGUGGGGGUUGGAAAGUUUCGGCGGUUGGGGAUGGACUCGCGGCUUAUCAGCUUGUUGGUGGGGUAGUGGCUUACCAAGGCUUUGCCGGGUAGCCGGCCUGAGAGGGUGACCGGCCACAUGGGGACUGAGAUACGGACCAGACUCCUACGGGAGGCAGCAGUGGGGAAUAUUGCACAAUGGGCGGAAGCCUGAUGCAGCAACGCCGCGUGCGGGAUGACGGCCUUCGGGUUGUAAACCGCUUUCGCCUGUGACGAGGCGUGAGUGACGGUAAUGGGUAAAGAAGCACCGGCUAACUACGUG